CUAUGUGAUGAUACAGCACCUUUUUUACUUUAUUUUCUGGUACCUCUUAUGUCAGAAGCAGAUCCUUGUGGUCUGCUUCGAUGAUCUUAAUGGACUUCUGACA
Aspergillus lentulus is the source of this 103-nucleotide non-coding RNA. Lineage: Eukaryota; Fungi; Ascomycota; Eurotiomycetes; Eurotiales; Aspergillaceae. The record is from Rfam.